UACGUAGGGGGCUAGCGUUGUCCGGAUUUAUUGGGCGUAAAGAGCGUGUAGGCGGCCAGGUAGGUCUGCUGUGAAAACUCGAGGCUCAACCUCGAGACGUCGGCGGAAACCAUCUGGCUAGAGUCCGGAAGAGGAGAGUGGAAUUCCUGGUGUAGCGGUGAAAUGCGCAGAUAUCAGGAGGAACACCGGUGGCGAAGGCGGGUCUCUGGGCCGAUACUGACGCUGAGGAGCGAAAGCGUGGUGAGCGAACAGG
Molecule: ribosomal RNA, 253 nt
Filed under: uncultured bacterium
Lineage: Bacteria
Description: partial 16S ribosomal RNA
Rfam family: Bacterial small subunit ribosomal RNA
Source: RNAcentral